UACGUAGGGCGCGAGCGUUGUCCGGAAUUAUUGGGCGUAAAGAGCUCGUAGGCGGCCUGUUGCGUCCGCUGUGAAAUCCCGGGGCUUAACCCCGGGUCUGCAGUGGAUACGGGCAGGCUAGAGGCAGGCAGGGGAGAACGGAAUUCCCGGUGUAGCGGUGAAAUGCGCAGAUAUCGGGAGGAACACCGGUGGCGAAGGCGGUUCUCUGGGCCUGUUCUGACGCUGAGGAGCGAAAGCGUGGGGAGCGAACAGG
RNAcentral lists this ribosomal RNA (253 nucleotides) under uncultured bacterium. RNAcentral describes it as "partial 16S ribosomal RNA". It matches the Rfam family "Bacterial small subunit ribosomal RNA", at positions 524 to 776 of the family's 1533-position model. The record is from RNAcentral.